AGUUUAUACCGUAGCUUGCUACACCAUAGACUGUGAGUUGCGAACGGGUGAGUAACGCGUAGGUAACCUGCCUAUUAGAGGGGGAUAACUAUUGGAAACGAUAGCUAAUACCGCAUAACAGUAUGUAACACAUGUUAGAUGCUUGAAAGAUGCAAUUGCAUCGCUAGUAGAUGGACCUGCGUUGUAUUAGCUAGUAGGUAGGGUAAUGGCCUACCUAGGCGACGAUACAUAGCCGACCUGAGAGGGUGAUCGGCCACACUGGGACUGAGACACGGCCCAGACUCCUACGGGAGGCAGCAGUAGGGAAUCUUCGGCAAUGGGGGGAACCCUGACCGAGCAACGCCGCGUGAGUGAAGAAGGUUUUCGGAUCGUAAAGCUCUGUUGUUAAGGAAGAACGAGUGUGAGAAUGGAAAGUUCAUACUGUGACGGUACUUAACCAGAAAGGGACGGCUAACUACGUGCCAGCAGCCGCGGUAAUACGUAGGUCCCGAGCGUUGUCCGGAUUUAUUGGGCGUAAAGCGAGCGCAGGCGGUUAGAAAAGUCUGAAGUGAAAGGCAGUGGCUCAACCAUUGUAGGCUUUGGAAACUGUUUAACUUGAGUGCAGAAGGGGAGAGUGGAAUUCCAUGUGUAGCGGUGAAAUGCGUAGAUAUAUGGAGGAACACCGGUGGCGAAAGCGGCUCUCUGGUCUGUAACUGACGCUGAGGCUCGAAAGCGUGGGGAGCGAACAGGAUUAGAUACCCUGGUAGUC
This 748-nucleotide ribosomal RNA is filed under the name Streptococcus sp. HGH0327. Its description in RNAcentral is "bacterial SSU rRNA". It matches the Rfam family "Bacterial small subunit ribosomal RNA", at positions 60 to 795 of the family's 1533-position model. Lineage: Bacteria; Bacillati; Bacillota; Bacilli; Lactobacillales; Streptococcaceae. The record is from RNAcentral.